CCUACGGGUGGCAGCAGUGGGGAAUAUUGGACAAUGGGCGAAAGCCUGAUCCAGCCAUGCCGCGUGUGUGAAGAAGGCCUUCGGGUUGUAAAGCACUUUCAGUGGGGAAGAGAGCCUUGGGGCUAAUACCCUCGAGGAAGGACAUCACCCACAGAAGAAGCACCGGCUAACUCCGUGCCAGCAGCCGCGGUAAUACGGAGGGUGCGAGCGUUAAUCGGAAUUACUGGGCGUAAAGCGCGCGUAGGCGGUCUGAUAAGCCGGUUGUGAAAGCCCCGGGCUCAACCUGGGAACGGCAUCCGGAACUGUCAGGCUAGAGUGCAGGAGAGGAAGGUAGAAUUCCCGGUGUAGCGGUGAAAUGCGUAGAGAUCGGGAGGAAUACCAGUGGCGAAGGCGGCCUUCUGGACUGACACUGACGCUGAGGUGCGAAAGCGUGGGUAGCAAACAGGAUUAGAUACCCUUGUAGUC
RNAcentral lists this ribosomal RNA (465 nucleotides) under Vreelandella stevensii. RNAcentral's name for it is "partial 16S ribosomal RNA". It matches the Rfam family "Bacterial small subunit ribosomal RNA", at positions 338 to 795 of the family's 1533-position model. The record is from RNAcentral. Lineage: Bacteria; Pseudomonadati; Pseudomonadota; Gammaproteobacteria; Oceanospirillales; Halomonadaceae.